GGGACGUAGCUCAGAGGUAGAGGAUCUGCCUUGUAUGCAGAAGGACCUGGGUUUAAUCCCUGGCAACCU
Non-coding RNA from Podarcis lilfordi (Lilford's wall lizard), 69 nucleotides. The record is from the annotation of a GenBank genome assembly. NCBI's taxonomy places the organism in Eukaryota, Metazoa, Chordata, Lepidosauria, Squamata, Lacertidae.